Molecule: ribosomal RNA, 481 nt
Filed under: uncultured Pseudomonas sp.
Lineage: Bacteria; Pseudomonadati; Pseudomonadota; Gammaproteobacteria; Pseudomonadales; Pseudomonadaceae
Description: bacterial SSU rRNA
Rfam family: Bacterial small subunit ribosomal RNA
Source: RNAcentral
AACUCAAAUGAAUGACGGGACCCCGCACAAGCGGUGGAUCAUGUUGUUUAAUUCGAUGAUACGCGAAGAACCUUACCAGGUCUUGACACUCCCCCGCGAUGCUUUAGAGAUAAAGCGGAGGUAUUCGGGGAGACAGGUGGUGCAUGGUUGUCGUCAGCUCGUGUCGUGAGAUGUUGGGUUAAGUCCCGUAACGAGCGCAACCCUUGUCCUUAGUUACCAGCACGUUAUGGUGGGCACUCUAAGGAGACUGCCGGUGACAAACCGGAGGAAGGUGGGGAUGACGUCAAGUCAUCAUGGCCCUUACGGCCUGGGCUACACACGUGCUACAAUGGUCGGUACAAAGGGUUGCCAAGCCGCGAGGUGGAGCUAAUCCCAUAAAACCGAUCGUAGUCCGGAUCGCAGUCUGCAACUCGACUGCGUGAAGUCGGAAUCGCUAGUAAUCGUGAAUCAGAAUGUCACGGUGAAUACGUUCCCGGGCCUU